AGUGAACGCUGGCGGUAGGCCUAACACAUGCAAGUCGAACGGCAGCACAGGAGAGCUUGCUCUCUGGGUGGCGAGUGGCGGACGGGUGAGGAAUACAUCGGAAUCUACUCUGUCGUGGGGGAUAACGUAGGGAAACUUACGCUAAUACCGCAUACGACCUACGGGUGAAAGCAGGGGACCUUAGGGCCUUGCGCGAUUGAAUGAGCCGAUGUCGGAUUAGCUAGUUGGCGGGGUAAAGGCCCACCAAGGCGACGAUCCGUAGCUGGUCUGAGAGGAUGAUCAGCCACACUGGAACUGAGACACGGUCCAGACUCUUACGGGAGGCAGCAGUGGGGAAUAUUGGACAAUGGGCGCAAGCCUGAUCCAGCCAUACCGCGUGGGUGAAGAAGGCCUUCGGGUUGUAAAGCCCUUUUGUUGGGAAAGAAAUCCAGCUGGCUAAUACCCGGUUGGGAUGACGGUACCCAAAGAAUAAGCACCGGCUAACCUCGUGCCAGCCGCCGCCGUAA
Molecule: ribosomal RNA, 506 nt
Filed under: uncultured bacterium
Lineage: Bacteria
Description: partial 16S ribosomal RNA
Rfam family: Bacterial small subunit ribosomal RNA
Source: RNAcentral